Molecule: transfer RNA, 73 nt
Filed under: Marmota marmota marmota (Alpine marmot)
Lineage: Eukaryota; Metazoa; Chordata; Mammalia; Rodentia; Sciuridae
Also listed under: 1 other name
Rfam family: tRNA
About the family: Transfer RNA (tRNA) molecules are approximately 80 nucleotides in length.
Source: Rfam by way of RNAcentral
GGUGAUAUGGCUCAGUGAUAGAGCACUUGCUACGCAUAUGCAAGGGCCCUGGGUUCCAUUCCCAGGAUCUCCC